RNAcentral lists this ribosomal RNA (253 nucleotides) under uncultured bacterium. Its description in RNAcentral is "partial 16S ribosomal RNA". It matches the Rfam family "Bacterial small subunit ribosomal RNA", at positions 524 to 776 of the family's 1533-position model. The record is from RNAcentral.
UACGUAGGGUGCGAGCGUUAAUCGGAAUUACUGGGCGUAAAGCGUGCGCAGGCGGUUUUGUAAGCCAGAUGUGAAAUCCCCGGGCUUAACCUGGGAACUGCAUUUGGGACUGCAAGGCUUGAGUGCGGCAGAGGAGACUGGAAUUCCUGGUGUAGCAGUGAAAUGCGUAGAGAUCCGGAAGAACACCGGUGGCGAAGGCGGCCCGCUGGGCAACUGCUGACACUGAGGCGCGACAGCGUGGGGAGCAAACAGG